RNAcentral lists this ribosomal RNA (209 nucleotides) under uncultured prokaryote. RNAcentral's name for it is "partial 16S ribosomal RNA". It matches the Rfam family "Bacterial small subunit ribosomal RNA", at positions 524 to 732 of the family's 1533-position model. The record is from RNAcentral.
UACGAAGGGGGCUAGCGUUGCUCGGAAUCACUGGGCUUAAAGGGCGCGUAGGCGGGUCUCCUAGUCCGGGGUGAAAUCUUUCGGCUUAACCGGAAAAUGGCCUUGGAAACGGGAGACCUCGAGGGAGGCAGGGGCAUGUGGAACUUCCGGUGGAGCGGUGAAAUGCGUUGAGAUCGGAAGGAACGCCGGUGGCGAAAGCGGCGUGCUGG